GUUACACAAUUGCUAUAAAGCAUUAGAGUAUGUCGUACAAUUAGUUUUUUUAAUGUUAACUAACUAAUGCACUUGUGGAUGUUGCUGUGGCAUUCAGAGAUUCUUUGUAUUUAGAUGCACAGCAAAAAUAAAGAAUAGAAAAAUAGUAAAAGCAAACAAAUCUUGAAUCCCCACACCUCCUGUGGUUUAUUCAUAUGAGGAUAUGGAAAUUACUCUUCAACUUGUCUUAAAUCCAUGACUGCAUUUAGG
Molecule: non-coding RNA, 249 nt
Organism: Pelobates cultripes (western spadefoot toad)
Lineage: Eukaryota; Metazoa; Chordata; Amphibia; Anura; Pelobatidae
Source: the annotation of a GenBank genome assembly